Long non-coding RNA from Girardinichthys multiradiatus, 387 nucleotides. RefSeq lists it as uncharacterized. The record is from RefSeq and is a predicted model, not a curated record. Lineage: Eukaryota; Metazoa; Chordata; Actinopteri; Cyprinodontiformes; Goodeidae. The transcript has 3 exons.
GCAGCUGGACAUGCUAGCAGGGGUGGCAGCUAACGUCCAUCCAUUUCGGCUGUGGAGUGAAGAUUAUAUUGUGAUGCUGUGGUGAAUAUCUGAGUUAACCCAUCUGCCACUGAAGCAGUUGGUUACUAUGGAGACUGAGCAUCGUCACAAAUGCAGAAAGACACACAGUACACACAGGCCUCCGUACACCUCUGGACAGCAGCCAAUGCCACUGCAGUCACAGUUCCCGCUGUAGAUGGACUCUGCACACAUGAAGCUCUGGGGCAGCUGAUGAAAAUAGACUUGCUGCAAGAAUUUCUCUACCAAAUGACCUGGAAAACAUCACGGUUGGACUUGUCGGAAAAUAUGCGUAUCUUCUUCAAGUCUUCGUUGUAUGCACUGGCCGAU